GAUGAACGCUGGCGGCGUGCCUAAUACAUGCCAGUCGAGCGAACGGACGAGAAGCUUGCUUCUCUGAUGUUAGCGGCGGACGGGUGAGUAACACGUGGAUAACCUACCUAUAAGACUGGGAUAACUUCGGGAAACCGGAGCUAAUACCGGAUAAUAUUUUGAACCGCAUGGUUCAAAAGUGAAAGACGGUCUUGCUGUCACUUAUAGAUGGAUCCGCGCUGCAUUAGCUAGUUGGUAAGGUAACGGCUUACCAAGGCAACGAUGGAUAGCCGACCUGAGGGGGUGAUCCGCCACACUGGAACUGAGACACGGUCCAGACUCCUACGGGAGGCAGCAGUAGGGAAUCUUCCGCAAUGGGCGAAAGCCUGACGGAGCAACGCCGCGUGAGUGCUGAAGGUCUUCGGAUCGUAAAACUCUGUUAUUAGGGAAGAACAUAUGUGUAAGUACCUGUGCACAUCUUGACGGUACCUAAUCAGAAAGCCACGGCUAACUACGUG
RNAcentral lists this ribosomal RNA (497 nucleotides) under uncultured bacterium. RNAcentral's name for it is "partial 16S ribosomal RNA". It matches the Rfam family "Bacterial small subunit ribosomal RNA", at positions 28 to 507 of the family's 1533-position model. The record is from RNAcentral.